GACGAACGCUGGCGGCGUGCUUAACACAUGCAAGUCGAACGGAAAGGCCCUGCUUUUGUUGGGUGCUCGAGUGGCGAACGGGUGAGUAACACGUGAGUAACCUGCCCUUGACUUUGGGAUAACUUCAGGAAACUGGGGCUCAUACCGGAUAGAAGCUCCUGCUGCAUAGUGGUGGUUGGAAAGUUUCGGCCGUUGGGGAUGGACUCGCGGCUUAUCCGCUUGUUGGUGGGGUAGUGGCUUACCAAGGCUUUGACGGGUAGCCGGCCUGAGAGGUGUACCGGCGACAAGGGGACUGAGAGACGGCGCAGACGCGUACGGGAGGCAGUAGUGGGGAACAUUGCAGAAUGGGCGGAAGCCUGAGGCAGAAACGCCGCGUGCGGGAUGAUGGGUUUCGGGUGAUAAACCGCUGUCGCAGGUGACGAAGCGGGAGUGACGGUAACGGGUAAAGAAGCACCGGCUAACUACGUG
Molecule: ribosomal RNA, 468 nt
Filed under: uncultured bacterium
Lineage: Bacteria
Description: partial 16S ribosomal RNA
Rfam family: Bacterial small subunit ribosomal RNA
Source: RNAcentral